Molecule: ribosomal RNA, 500 nt
Filed under: uncultured microorganism
Description: bacterial SSU rRNA
Rfam family: Bacterial small subunit ribosomal RNA
Source: RNAcentral
GAGUUUGAUCGUGGCUCAGGAUGAACGCUGGCGGCGUGCCUAAUACAUGCAAGUCGAGCGAACAGACGAGGAGCUUGCUCCUCUGACGUUAGCGGCGGACGGGUGAGUAACACGUGGAUAACCUACCUAUAAGACUGGGAUAACUUCGGGAAACCGGAGCUAAUACCGGAUAAUAUAUUGAACCGCAUGGUUCAAUAGUGAAAGACGGUUUUGCUGUCACUUAUAGAUGGAUCCGCGCCGCAUUAGCUAGUUGGUAAGGUAACGGCUUACCAAGGCAACGAUGCGUAGCCGACCUGAGAGGGUGAUCGGCCACACUGGAACUGAGACACGGUCCAGACUCCUACGGGAGGCAGCAGUAGGGAAUCUUCCGCAAUGGGCGAAAGCCUGACGGAGCAACGCCGCGUGAGUGAUGAAGGUCUUCGGAUCGUAAAACUCUGUUAUUAGGGAAGAACGAAAUGUAGUAAGUAACUAUGCACGUCUUGACGGUACCUAAUCAGAAG